Molecule: ribosomal RNA, 441 nt
Filed under: uncultured bacterium
Lineage: Bacteria
Description: bacterial SSU rRNA
Rfam family: Bacterial small subunit ribosomal RNA
Source: RNAcentral
AACGCGAAGAACCUUACCUGGGCUCGAAAUGGAGUGGACAGGAGUGGAAACAUUCCCUCCCCGCAAGGGGCUGCUCUAUAGGUGCUGCAUGGCUGUCGUCAGCUCGUGUCGUGAGAUGUUGGGUUAAGUCCCGCAACGAGCGCAACCCUUAUUACCAGUUGCCAUCAUUCAGUUGGGCACUCCGGUGAGACCGCCUCGGAUAACGGGGAGGAAGGCGGGGAUGACGUCAAGUCCUCAUGGCCUUUAUGUCCAGGGCUACACACGUGCUACAAUGGUCGGUACAAACCGUCGCAAACCCGCGAGGGGGAGCUAAUCGGAAAAAGCCGGCCUCAGUUCGGAUCGCAGUCUGCAACUCGACUGCGUGAAGCUGGAAUCGCUAGUAAUCGCGGAUCAGAACGCCGCGGUGAAUACGUUCCCGGGCCUUGUACACACCGAGACGAC